Molecule: ribosomal RNA, 332 nt
Filed under: uncultured bacterium
Lineage: Bacteria
Description: bacterial SSU rRNA
Rfam family: Bacterial small subunit ribosomal RNA
Source: RNAcentral
UGCGUAGGCGGUUCUUUGUGUCCGCUGUGAAAUCCCCGGGCUUGACCUGGGAAUUGCAGUGGAAACUAGAGGACUCAGAAUCCGGCAGAGGGGGGUGGAAUGCCACGUGUAGCAGUGAAAUGCGUAGAGAUGUGGCGGAACACCGAUGGCGAAGGCAGCCCCCUGGGCUGAGAUUGACGCUCAGGCACGAAAGCGUGGGGAGCAAACAGGAUUAGAUACCCUGGUAGUCCACGCCCUAAACGAUGAUCACUAGGUGUUGGGGAAGCGAUUUCCUAGUACCGCAGCUAACGCGUGAAGUGAUCCGCCUGGGGAGUACGGUCGCAAGAUUAAAA